This 461-nucleotide ribosomal RNA is filed under the name uncultured bacterium. RNAcentral describes it as "bacterial SSU rRNA". It matches the Rfam family "Bacterial small subunit ribosomal RNA", at positions 29 to 518 of the family's 1533-position model. The record is from RNAcentral.
AUGAACGCUGGCGGCGUGCCUAACACAUGCAAGUCGAGCGAUCUCUCGGAGAAGAGCGGCGGACGGGUGAGUAACGCGUGGGUAACCUGCCUCAUACACAUGGAUAACAUACCGAAAGGUAUGCUAAUACAGGAUAAUAUAAGAGAUUCACAUGGAUUUCUUAUCAAAGCUCCGGCGGUAUGAGAUGGACCCGCGUCUGAUUAGCUAGUUGGUAAGGUAAUGGCUUACCAAGGCGACGAUCAGUAGCCGACCUGAGAGGGUGAUCGGCCACAUUGGAACUGAGACACGGUCCAAACUCCUACGGGAGGCAGCAGUGGGGAAUAUUGCACAAUGGGCGAAAGCCUGAUGCCAGCAACGCCGCGUGAGUGAUGAAGGCCUUCGGGUCGUAAAACUCUGUCCUCAAGGAAGAUAAUGACGGUACUUGAGGAGGAAGCCCCGGCUAACUACGUGCCAGCAGCCGC